UGCUGGUUUUGGCUUCAUUAGCUGUUCCUCUAGGAUUCAUUAGCUGUCCUUCCAUUGAUUCUAUCCAUAAAAAAAGAAAUAUAGAUUGAACGUUGAUGUCACUGGAUAAUAAUUCUUUAGUAAACGUAAGAUUUUCUCAAGUUGCAAUUUUUUAUUUCACUGUAACCUGUUUCCCGGAAGAACAGCGUAAAUUCGAGCACACAAAUAUUCUAUUCAUCUUUUAAGCUAAGUAUCCAAGCACAGACAAGCUGAAUUUUGUAGAAACAGAAUUCUUCCUUGCAGGUUUUACUUAGCUCUUGCCCAAUUGGAUUUAGGACCAAGUUUUUGGAUUAAAUUAUGUAUCCUUGUUAAUCCAAUCAACUUCAUGUAUGAUCUUCCAACAAGGAUAUUGCACAUGUCAGGUGGUUUUUUGGUACACUGCCACUACACCGUCUCUGACACAGUUUCACAAAAAAACUGAAAGGGAAAACCACCCCGCUUAUUGUACUUCAACUUGCAUAUAUAAUAAAUUGAAAGGGAAAACAUUCAUUGUAUUGUUCAUAAAUUGCUAUUCAAUACGCAUUCAUUGUACUCUUUGCUUAUUAUUAUUAUAUUAUAAAAUAAAAUUGUAGAAGUUGAUAGCAAUUAGCUCAAUGCUAUGCAUCAACUUUGUUCUGCAAAAUCAAUCAAUAUCAAGCUAGGAAUAAAAAAUUGUCUCCCAUUGCAGACAAGCUGAAUUUUGUAGAAACAGAAUUCUUCCUUGCAGGUUUUACUUAGCUCUUGCCCAAUUGGAUUUAGGACCAAGUUUUUGGAUUAAAUUAUGUAUCCUUGUUAAUCCAAUCAACUUCAUGUAUGAUCUUCCAACAAGGAUAUUGCACAUGUCAGGUGGUUUUUUGGUACACUGCCACUACACCGUCUCUGAC
RNAcentral lists this long non-coding RNA (902 nucleotides) under Populus trichocarpa (black cottonwood). Its description in RNAcentral is "long non-coding RNA (PTRI_LNC003970)". Lineage: Eukaryota; Viridiplantae; Streptophyta; Magnoliopsida; Malpighiales; Salicaceae. The record is from RNAcentral.